Long non-coding RNA from Neoarius graeffei (lesser salmon catfish), 372 nucleotides. RefSeq lists it as uncharacterized. The transcript is spliced from 3 exons. The record is from RefSeq and is a predicted model, not a curated record. Lineage: Eukaryota; Metazoa; Chordata; Actinopteri; Siluriformes; Ariidae.
UCAGUGAUGGUCGAGGGCUCUCAUCCUUUACUGCUAUCCAAAGGUCAGACGGAUGAUGCUGCUAGUUCAGAGAGUAGCCUUGAACAGAUUUUUACAGAGCCUGAAUAUGUACAAUAACGUGAUCUCAGUGAGGUGAUUAUUCCCUUGCCCAUGGCUCACCAAUUGACAUUGGAGCAGUAUUGCAAAAAAAUGUUUUAUGGCCCGUCACACUGCUCCUAUAUGUAGUACAAUUUACAGCAUCCAUGGACACCACAUCAGUGAAUAACCAUUAGCAGGUGAGGCUUCGCCUCCGAUUGAGAGGAAUGAGUCAACAUCACCAAAGAGACGCAAACCAGUGUCAGAUCAUGAGAUAACUUCAAGUGCCAGCACUGU